AUUGAACGCUGGCGGCAUGCCUUACACAUGCAAAUCGAACGGCAGCACGGGUGCUUGCACCUGGUGGCGAGUGGCGAACGGGUGAGUAAUACAUCGGAACGUACCUUAUCGUGGGGGAUAACGCAGCGAAAGCUGUGCUAAUACCGCAUACGCCCUGAGGGGGAAAGCGGGGGAUCGCAAGACCUCGCGCGAUUAGAGCGGCCGAUGCCUGAUUAGCUAGUUGGUGGGGUAAAAGCCCACCAAGGCGACGAUCAGUAGCUGGUCUGAGAGGACGAUCAGCCACACUGGGACUGAGACACGGCCCAGACUCCUACGGGAGGCAGCAGUGGGGAAUUUCGGACAAUGGGGGCAACCCUGAUCCAGCAAUGCCGCGUGAGUGAAGAAGGCCUUCGGGUUGUAAAGCUCUUUUGUCAGGGAAGAAACACCGGCUCUAACACAGUCCGGGAAUGACGGUACCUGAAGAAUAAGCACCGGCUAACUACGUGCCAGCAGCCGCCGCGG
RNAcentral lists this ribosomal RNA (501 nucleotides) under uncultured bacterium. Its description in RNAcentral is "partial 16S ribosomal RNA". It matches the Rfam family "Bacterial small subunit ribosomal RNA", at positions 29 to 523 of the family's 1533-position model. The record is from RNAcentral.